RNAcentral lists this ribosomal RNA (468 nucleotides) under uncultured bacterium. RNAcentral's name for it is "partial 16S ribosomal RNA". It matches the Rfam family "Bacterial small subunit ribosomal RNA", at positions 28 to 507 of the family's 1533-position model. The record is from RNAcentral.
GACGAACGCUGGCGGCGUGCUUAACACAUGCAAGUCGAACGGAAAGGCCCUGCUUUUGUGGGGUGCUCGAGUGGCGAACGGGUGAGUAACACGUGAGUAACCUGCCCUUGACUUUGGGAUAACUUCAGGAAACUGGGGCUAAUACCGGAUAGGAGCUCCUGCUGCAUGGUGGGGGUUGGAAAGUUUCGGCGGUUGGGGAUGGACUCGCGGCUUAUCAGCUUGUUGGUGGGGGAGUGGCUUACCAAGGCUUUGAAGGGUAGCCGGCCUGAGAGGGUGACCGGCCACAUUGGGACUGAGAUACGGCCCAGACUCCUACGGGAGGCAGCAGUGGGGAAUAUUGCACAAUGGGCGGAAGCCUGAUGCAGCAACGCCGCGUGCGGGAUGACGGCCUUCGGGUUGUAAACCGCUUUCGCCUGUGACGAAGCGUGAGUGACGGUAAUGGGUAAAGAAGCACCGGCUAACUACGUG